AAGGAUCAUUAUCGAAUAAACAUUUGAUAGGCUGUUGCUGGCCCUUCUAGGGUAGUGUGCACGCUUGUCAUUUAUUUUUCCACCUGUGCACCCUUUUUGUAGACCUUGUCUCUCUAGGUUCUAUGUUACUCACAUACUCCUACGAAUGUAAUAGAAUGUUGAUCUGGGUCUUUGAUGCCCAUAAAGUUAUAUACAACUUUCAGCAAUGGAUCUCUUGGCUCUC
This 223-nucleotide unclassified non-coding RNA is filed under the name uncultured fungus. Its description in RNAcentral is "partial contains 18S rRNA, ITS1, 5.8S rRNA, ITS2 and 28S rRNA". The record is from RNAcentral. Lineage: Eukaryota; Fungi.